UACGUAGGGGGCAAGCGUUGUCCGGAUUUAUUGGGCGUAAAGAGCGUGUAGGCGGCUAUACAGGUCCGCUGUGAAAACUCGAGGCUCAACCUCGAGACGUCGGUGGAAACCGUAUGGCUAGAGUCCGGAAGAGGAGAGUGGAAUUCCCGGUGUAGCGGUGAAAUGCGCAGAUAUCGGGAAGAACACCCGUGGCGAAGGCGGCUCUCUGGGACGGUACUGACGCUGAGACGCGAAAGCGUGGGGAGCGAACAGG
Molecule: ribosomal RNA, 253 nt
Filed under: uncultured bacterium
Lineage: Bacteria
Description: partial 16S ribosomal RNA
Rfam family: Bacterial small subunit ribosomal RNA
Source: RNAcentral